Molecule: ribosomal RNA, 508 nt
Filed under: uncultured bacterium
Lineage: Bacteria
Description: partial 16S ribosomal RNA
Rfam family: Bacterial small subunit ribosomal RNA
Source: RNAcentral
GAUGAACGCUAGCUACAGGCUUAACACAUGCAAGUCGAGGGGAAACGACAUCGAAAGCUUGCUUUUGAUGGGCGUCGACCGGCGCACGGGUGAGUAACGCGUAUCCAACCUGCCCACCACUUGGGGAUAACCUUGCGAAAGUAAGACUAAUACCCAAUGAUAUCUCUAGAAGACAUCUGAAAGAGAUUAAAGAUUUAUCGGUGAUGGAUGGGGACGCGUCUGAUUAGCUUGUUGGCGGGGUAACGGCCCACCAAGGCUACGAUCAGUAGGGGUCCUGAGAGGAAGGUCCCCCACAUUGGAACUGAGACACGGUCCAAACUCCUACGGGAGGCAGCAGUGAGGAAUAUUGGUCAAUGGACGGGAGUCUGAACCAGCCAAGUAGCGUGCAGGAUGACGGCCCUAUGGGUUGUAAACUGCUUUUAUAAGGGAAUAAAGUGAGUCUCGUGAGACUUUUUGCAUGUACCUUAUGAAUAAGGACCGGCUAAUUCCGUGCCAGCCGCCGCAGUAA